This 656-nucleotide ribosomal RNA is filed under the name alpha proteobacterium IMCC15120. Its description in RNAcentral is "bacterial SSU rRNA". It matches the Rfam family "Bacterial small subunit ribosomal RNA", at positions 39 to 743 of the family's 1533-position model. The record is from RNAcentral. Lineage: Bacteria; Pseudomonadati; Pseudomonadota; Alphaproteobacteria.
GCGGCAGGCCUAACACAUGCAAGUCGAGCGCGCCUUCGGGUGAGCGGCGGACGGGUUAGUAACGCGUGGGAACGUACCCUUUUCUACGGAAUAGCCUUUGGAAACGAAGAGUAAUACCGUAUACGCCCUUUGGGGGAAAGAUUUAUCGGAGAAGGAUCGGCCCGCGUUAGAUUAGAUAGUUGGUGGGGUAACGGCCUACCAAGUCUACGAUCUAUAGCUGGUUUUAGAGGAUGAUCAGCAACACUGGGACUGAGACACGGCCCAGACUCCUACGGGAGGCAGCAGUGGGGAAUCUUAGACAAUGGGCGCAAGCCUGAUCUAGCCAUGCCGCGUGAGUGAUGAAGGCCUUAGGGUCGUAAAGCUCUUUCGCCUGUGAUGAUAAUGACAGUAGCAGGUAAAGAAACCCCGGCUAACUCCGUGCCAGCAGCCGCGGUAAUACGGAGGGGGUUAGCGUUGUUCGGAAUUACUGGGCGUAAAGCGCACGUAGGCGGAUUGGAAAGUUGGGGGUGAAAUCCCGGGGCUCAACCCCGGAACUGCCUCCAAAACUAUCAGUCUAGAGUUCGAGAGAGGUGAGUGGAAUUCCAAGUGUAGAGGUGAAAUUCGUAGAUAUUUGGAGGAACACCAGUGGCGAAGGCGGCUCACUGGCUCGAUACUGA